Molecule: long non-coding RNA, 2296 nt
Organism: Pieris brassicae (large cabbage white)
Lineage: Eukaryota; Metazoa; Arthropoda; Insecta; Lepidoptera; Pieridae
Exons: 3
Source: RefSeq, a predicted model, not a curated record
AAUGGUAAAUAUACACCAACAGGUGUUAACUUAAAAAGAGACCUAAGUGAGAGUCAAAAAACCCAGGAUGACAAUACUGAAGAAAAGAAAUACCAGAGGCCAAUAGAAAAUGAAAAUGAUGAAGAAAAUAAACGUCAAGAUACACCGACAGGUGUUGUUAUCUUAAAUAAAGUUCUUUGUAAGGGUCAGGAUGACAAUACAGAAGAAAAUAAAGACCAGAGGCCAAUAGAAAAAGAAAAUGAUGAAGAAAAUAAACGUCAAGAUACACCGACAGAUGUUGUUAUCUUAAAUAAAGCUCUUUGUAAGGAUCACGAUGACAAUAUAGAAGAAAAUAAAGACACGAGGCCAAUAAAAAAAGCAAAUGAUGAAGAAAAUAUUAAAUAUACACCAAUAGAUGCCGAAAAGCCAGAUAAAGACGAUAAUUUGGUCAAUAUUGAAAAACCCUCUGAAACAAAUAUUAAGCAUACUGAAAAAGUAAUUCGCAAAUCAAAACUUAUUACAGUUUCAAAAGAAAAUAAAAUAGAACGAGAUCCAGUGAAUGAGAUUUAUACCGAAUUAGUUAAUAAUUUAAAAAAUCAAGGUUUAUGGAAAAAUAUCGGUGACCAACGUGUGAAUGAAAUUUUCUUUGAAAUAAUAAUGGCUAAGUUGAAGAAUAAAAAUAUAAAAAUUAGUUUUGCAUCAUACAACACAUUUGUGUCUGUGGGCAACGGGACUUGGUAUUGUGUCGUGUGCUCUGUGGAAUUAUUUAAAAUGGGCGUGCACUUUACUAUUGAUGGUCAUUUGAAGAAUUUAAAAAAAUACACUUUUAUAGAUAAAUACGAUAUUAAUUUAAUUCGUCGGAAUAGGCAAUUUUAUCACUGCGGAAUAUGUAAUAUAAUGAUCACGAAAGAAGAGUUACAAACACACAUAGCAUGGAAUGAACACAGUAGUAAUUUGUCUGAUAGUAUAAAAAAUCGGCACAGAAAUUUAAGAGAUUUAAAAACAAUCGAACUCAGUCUGGGAAAGGAAACACAAUUCCAGGACGUUUCGUUACACACAAAAAUUGUUGCAAACUAUAAAUUCGAAGCUGUCAUCACUACGAGUGUUGCCAAGAAAAAUAAAAUCAUCACCCACGCUGGCAAAUCUUUUAAGUUAACGUGGGACGCGUGGCAGGGUGUUACGAAGAAUAAACACGGCUACAAGUGUAUAUUGUGCAGGGUCGAAAUGAAAAACUACGAUUUAUCGGGCCACGUGACUUCAGAGAGACAUACAAAAUUAUUGAAAUCAUUUGACUAUAAAUACUUGCCAGCAUUGAUAAGGAAGAUCAAUGACUCGACUGUCAAUUGCCUCACUUGUGACAGUGAAGUAUCGAGCAAAGAACACAUAUUAUUAGAUCACAUAAAAGGUAAAAAACACUUAAGAAACCAUAAAUAUAUCCUUAAUGUGUCAGAUAAAAGUUGCUACGAUGAUGUACUUAAUCUGUAAUGUCAAAUGUCUACGAUAUGAUAUCUGUCAACAGAUAAUGACAUUUCUCUAAAAAAAUUAUAUUUAUACAUAUGUUUUAAAGACUGAUUAUAUUUUUUUUAUAUCUAAUAUCUUUAUUGUUACGAGUCGUUUGAGAAAAAACUUAAAAGUCUACGUCUCGUAGCAAUUACGCUGUUUAGAGAAUUGCUUCUGAGACUGUUAUAUCUUUUUUUAAUUUGUAAUCUUUUCUGUAAGUAUUUGCGGCCAGGCUCAACUUUCCGUCUUUCGACUUCGCCUAAUAUAUUCUACUUUCAAAUUAUAUUCUGGUCAAAUAAAUGUUAAAUGUCAGUGAAAUACUGACGCAUAGACAAGCUGUUUGAAAGUUAAUUUUAUAUUUUAGAUUAACUGUCAAAAUGUAUUGCACAUUCCGGACAUUUUGUAAGACAGAGUCCUAGAUUAAAUUAUGUCUAUUAGUACAUUAUAUAUAAUGAACGGUGCAAAUUAUUAGUUAACUCUUAAAGAUUCUUUAAGUUGCAUUUAUAGUGGAUAAAUCCUUAAUAAAUAGUUUAUGUAGGUUAGGUAACUUUUAAUGAACGAUUCUGAGUAGGAGUGACUGUGAUUCUUAUUGUAUUUUUAUAGUGAUUUUCUCUCUCUAUGAUGAUUUUUCUUUUUUACCUUUUCUAUAUUGAAAUAACUUUGUUGAUUUAUUUUUUACAAAAGUGACCAAAGUAAUUUUUCGUGGCUUGUUUUAAUUCAAUUAAAACAAAUUAAAGCUGCAAAUAAGUAAUUUGUAAUAUUUUUGUAAAUUUUAAAUUUAUGAAUAUCCUCUCAUAUUGUAUAGCGAAUUUAAUUA